CAAUAGCGUAUAUUUAAGUUGUUGCAGUUAAAAAGCUCGUAGUUGGAUUUCGGAUGGGAUUUGCCGGUCCGUCGUUACGAUGUGCACUGGCCAGUCCUAUCUUGUUGUCGGGGACUAGCUCCUUGGAUUCACUUCCUGGGACUAGGAGCUGACGAGGUUACUUUGAGUAAAUUAGAGUGUUCAAAGCAAGCCUACGCUCUGAAUACAUUAGCAUGGAAUAACACGAUAGGACUCUGGCUUAUCUUGUUGGUCUGUGAGACCAGAGUAAUGAUUAAGAGGGACAGUCGGGGACAUUCGUAUUUCAUUGUCAGAGGUGAAAUUCUUGGAUUUAUGAAAGACGAACUUCUGCGAAAGCAUUUGCCAAGGAUGUUUUCAUUAA
RNAcentral lists this ribosomal RNA (379 nucleotides) under uncultured eukaryote. Its description in RNAcentral is "partial 18S ribosomal RNA". It matches the Rfam family "Eukaryotic small subunit ribosomal RNA", at positions 592 to 976 of the family's 1831-position model. The record is from RNAcentral.